AAGAAGCAAGACCGCGAGGUGGAGCAAAACUCAAAAACUUGUCUCAGUUCGGAUUGUAGGCUGAAACUCGCCUACAUGAAGCUGGAGUUGCUAGUAAUCGCGAAUCAGCAUGUCGCGGUGAAUACGUUCCCGGGCCUUGUACACACCGCCCGUCACACCAUGAGAGUUGGCAAUACCCAACGUACGUGAUCUAACCCGCAAGGGAGGAAGCGUCCUAAGGUAGGGUCAGCGAUUGGGGUGAAGUCGUAACAAGGUAAC
This 258-nucleotide ribosomal RNA is filed under the name uncultured bacterium. Its description in RNAcentral is "partial 16S ribosomal RNA". It matches the Rfam family "Bacterial small subunit ribosomal RNA", at positions 1244 to 1500 of the family's 1533-position model. The record is from RNAcentral.